GGGAACGGUCAGGUCGAGGGU
This 21-nucleotide non-coding RNA is filed under the name Arabidopsis thaliana (thale cress). The record is from RNAcentral. Lineage: Eukaryota; Viridiplantae; Streptophyta; Magnoliopsida; Brassicales; Brassicaceae.